Molecule: ribosomal RNA, 176 nt
Filed under: uncultured Porphyrobacter sp.
Lineage: Bacteria; Pseudomonadati; Pseudomonadota; Alphaproteobacteria; Sphingomonadales; Erythrobacteraceae
Description: partial 16S ribosomal RNA
Rfam family: Bacterial small subunit ribosomal RNA
Source: RNAcentral
AGGCUGGGCUACACACGUGCUACAAUGGCAUCUACAGUGGGCAGCUAUUCCGCAAGGAUGCGCUAAUCUCCAAAAGAUGUCUCAGUUCGGAUUGUCCUCUGCAACUCGAGGGCAUGAAGGCGGAAUCGCUAGUAAUCGCGGGUCAGCAGACCGCGGUGAAUACGUUCCCGGGUUUU